AUUCNGGGGCUUAACUUCGGGGUGGCAGGCGAUACGGGCAUAACUAGAGUGCUGUAGGGGAGACUGGAAUUCCUGGUGUAGCGGUGGAAUGCGCAGAUAUCAGGAGGAACACCGAUGGCGAAGGCAGGUCUCUGGGCAGUAACUGACGCUGAGGAGCGAAAGCAUGGGGAGCGAACAGGAUUAGAUACCCUGGUAGUCCAUGCUGUAAACGGUGGGCGUUAGGUGUGGGGACCGGUUUGGUUUCUGUGCCGUAGCUAACGCAUUAAGCGCCCCGCCUGGGGAGUACGGCCGCAAGGCUAAAACUCAAAGGAAUUGACGGGGGCCCGCACAAGCGGCGGAGCAUGUGGAUUAAUUCGAUGCAACGCGAAGAACCUUACCUGGGUUUGACAUGCACCAGACGGUUGUAGAGAUACGUACCUCCCUUUGUGGUUGGUGUGCAGGUGGUGCAUGGUUGUCGUCAGCUCGUGUCGUGAGAUGUUGGGUUAAGUCCCGCAACGAGCGCAACCCUUGUCUUAUGUUGCCAGCACGUUUAGGGUGGGGACUCAUGAGAGACUGCCGGGGUUAACUCGGAGGAAGGUGGGGAUGACGUCAAAUCAUCAUGCCCUUUAUGCCCAGGGCUUCACACAUGCUACAAUGGUUAGUACAACGCGCGGCGAGCCUGUGAGGGUGAGCGAAUCGCUGAAAGCUAAUCUCAGUUUGGAUUGGGGUCUGCAACUCGACCCCAU
This 725-nucleotide ribosomal RNA is filed under the name uncultured bacterium. Its description in RNAcentral is "bacterial SSU rRNA". It matches the Rfam family "Bacterial small subunit ribosomal RNA", at positions 599 to 1321 of the family's 1533-position model. The record is from RNAcentral.